CCCUCCUACAAAGAUGUGUCUGUAGUUCCCGGUCUUUGGACGCGUCAAAAUUGAAGGAAAAGAAACACGGAUAUGAAGAAGUCUGGGGCCAACUUGCUCCCUCCCUGUAGGCUCAAGACCAACCGUUCAACAGAG
This is a small nucleolar RNA of Suricata suricatta (meerkat), 135 nucleotides long. The record is from Ensembl. NCBI's taxonomy places the organism in Eukaryota, Metazoa, Chordata, Mammalia, Carnivora, Herpestidae.